RNAcentral lists this ribosomal RNA (447 nucleotides) under uncultured bacterium. Its description in RNAcentral is "bacterial SSU rRNA". It matches the Rfam family "Bacterial small subunit ribosomal RNA", at positions 28 to 482 of the family's 1533-position model. The record is from RNAcentral.
GACGAACGCUGGCGGCGUGCUUAACACAUGCAAGUCGAGCGGAAAGGCCCUUUCGGGGGUACUCGAGCGGCGAACGGGUGAGUAACACGUGAGUAAUCUGCCCUUGGCUUUGGGAUAACCACCGGAAACGGUGGCUAAUACCGGAUAUGACAGGCUCCGGCAUCGGGGUUCGUGGAAAGUUUUUUCGGCCAGGGAUGUGCUCGCGGCCUAUCAGCUUGUUGGUGGGGUAAUGGCCUACCAAGGCUUCGACGGGUAGCCGGCCUGAGAGGGUGACCGGCCACACUGGGACUGAGACACGGCCCAGACUCCUACGGGAGGCAGCAGUGGGGAAUAUUGGACAAUGGGCGGAAGCCUGAUCCAGCAACGCCGCGUGAGGGAUGGCGGCCUGGUUGUAACCGUACUUCAGUACCGACGAAGACGCCGACUGAUGGUGGUGACGGUAGGUAC